Long non-coding RNA from Papaver somniferum (opium poppy), 1663 nucleotides. RefSeq lists it as uncharacterized. The transcript is spliced from 3 exons. NCBI's taxonomy places the organism in Eukaryota, Viridiplantae, Streptophyta, Magnoliopsida, Ranunculales, Papaveraceae. The record is from RefSeq and is a predicted model, not a curated record.
UUCAUUUAUACCAUCUAUUAUUAUCAUUCAGUAGUAACUAAAAACCCAAUUGUUUCCUCCUGCUACUUAAAAUUUUGAAAUAUUGAUUGAUGUUUAGUGUUCUUCAAAUUUUCCAGGGUUACAAUGUCAAGUCGAUGGGCUAAACGAGGGAGAGGUACUUUGAAAGCAUAUUUCCAAGCUCAAAAACCUGAUCAAAUAGAAGAAGGAUCAACAAGUAAUGUUCAAUUUACAUCUCCAUCAAAUGAUAGAAAUCAUGAAGUACCGAUUGUAAACCACGAACAUGAAGAAGUUGGUGGCCAAAGAACUGAAUUUGAAGCAAUGAGUACUCAAUGUGUACCUGAAGUUGUCGAAAUGCAUAUGUUUCUUCAUUUGAACGGCCAGGGGUGAUCCUUAGUUAUUUUCACAACCAACAAUUGACUUUAGUGGUAGUUUAGUCAGGCAUCAGCAGAAAAUAGACAACAUGUGGUAGCGCGCACAGGUAUGAAUAUCAUAUUAUGUUGUUUGUUCUUUGUUUGCCGAAUUUUUUUUUAGCCCCCCAUUCAGAAUUCCUGGCUCCGCCACUGUAAUUAUCCUAGAGAUUUUUUUUCUCUGUUUUCUCUUUGGUUAGUGAUAAUAAAAUCAUCCCAGCUGCUUAUUCUCAAAAUCCUAGACUCACUUCAAAAUCAGGCUGCUUGCAACAGGGUCCUUCUGGAUGUUCGAGUUUUUUUUAUUAAAAGCUCAACUUGCAGGUAUUACUGCUCCUGCUGUUCGUGUUUUUGUUAUUUCAAACACUGCGAACAAACUUUUAUUAUGUUUUGAACUUUCACUUCGUGCGUCUUAGUAGUUCUUGAACUGGUUCAUUGGUAAUAAUGAGUUGUUAUAUUGCAACUUCUCAUGAUUAUCUUUCAUGGAUCAAGAAGGCCAUUAUUGAUAUAGACAUGUACUCCCUCCACUUCAAAAAGAUGGGCUGGUUUCUUGUACAAAUUACACAGGAAACGAGCUUAUCUUUUUGAAACAGAGGGAAUACAUGUUUGGCAGGUGACAUGAUUAACAAUUGAAUACGUACAGUUUGAGGAUUCGAAUGGACCAAAACUAGUUGCUAUCCAAGACUUCUACUAUUAUUAUAGAAUAGAUGAGUGCACUGUUUUGCAAACGCUAGUUUUUCACUUUUCUCUCCAAGUUUGUUGAAUUUUUGGGGAAAAAAUGUAUUUACGUAAAGCAAAGAGUAAGAAAUAUGUCGAAAAGCAAAGAUUUGAUACUUUUGUUUAUGCUGGUUGCGUAGACUUCUGUUUCCAUGUUUUAAUGUUGCUUCAAAUCAGAAGUACGUUUGACAUUUUAGCCGUCUCCAUGACUCUCAUAUGUGUAUUUCCGGGUACAUUAAUAUUCAAAAUGGCAUGGCAAGACAUGGCAAUCUAUAUCAAGGCAUUGGUAAAUAUUAGGGGGUUUCCUCCACUUAAUAGUGCUUUCGAUCUGCCUCUGGGGUCGAUUGUCUAGUAAGAUCGAUGUAACUAGGGAACUGUACCAAAUAGGGUUGGGUAUUGUAUUGAACGUCCCACUGCGGCAUCAGGAGAUCUAAAUCUAGCCUAAUGAAGUAACAUGUUUUGCCGGAUUCACAUGGUGAAGAAACCAAUGAAAGAAACAUGGAAACAAUGGGAAUUGUAGAUCAUCUUAAUAUAACUGCUCU